CAGUAGCGUUACUACAGAUCGGUCUGUAGUGAGUAUGCACGUAAACAUAAACCCCACUAUAAUCUAAGACUUGGAAGAAAAAUCUUUUUCUUGUCGGUUGGCAGUUGUUGCUAAGUCCUAAAAUAAGACGACGCUGAUAUACUGCAAUCAAAAAGUUCAAAAAUGUUCCAAUUAUGCAGAAUAACCGGUUUAUGGUUUUCCUUAUGAAGGAUUCCAUCGAAGCUCUGGAUGGACUGGAUUAAUCUUUUAUGCCUAGCGCUGAUCAGCCACUCGUUUUGGGGUGUAAUAACGUCGUGGGAAUGCUACUCGUGCUCUGGAACCGGAGAUGAGUGUAAGGAAGCAUACAACUACACCAAGAAGACUUGUGAACCUGGAACCACGACGUGCAUCACCGUUCGUCAUUUUAAUGUUCCGCUUGACAAGAAGAAGUGGUCACGAGACAAAGUUCACUAUGCUAGAGCUUGCGGGAAAGGGUACUUCAGUCGAGUGUGGAUAGAUGCUGAGGACCGUACCCGUUACAUUAUCGAAGCGGAAGCUAUUAUUUGUGAUAGUUCAUUGUGCAACGGCAAGGGAGAGGCCUUCCCUACUCCAAACUACACUGUUCCCGAGCGUGCUAAUGUAACAACAACUACGACUGCAAAGCCAAAAUGAUCACGAUCUUCACCAACCUCCCGGGAACAUUUACCGACCGCUCGUUAGUGACCAAAAUCUACAACUACGGAUUUUUACACAGCGAAAUAAUAAGGACAGCAACAUCAAAGAAUUCGUAGCGCAUACCACCGGGCAGCAUGCUUUUAGAAGACCGUUACGUAUCACCGGCAGAAUGGUAACCAGGCUGAUUGCUGAAGGUCAAAGGAGCCGUAUCAGCCUUUCUACCGAAUUCCAGCAGAAAGAUUGUUGUUUUUUUGACCUUCCUACUGCCGCCUUUCUGGCGGCGGUACCGUUGAUAUAAUUAACCUUUCUGCCGAACUGGCUGACCCGUCAGAAAGCUUGCACAACCAUGCACAACCAUACUGCUACGGGUGAAACGACAAAAUUCCAAAAGUUUAAACGCAUGGGGGGUGUACUAAUAGUCUUCUAUCAACGGAUGUUCUUCAAAUUUUGCAUAAACACGCAUUACCAUGAAAAUCAUUUGUAACCCGAACCACCAAACCGUUUUGUUUUCAAAUUACAUAGUAGUUAAUAAAAUGAUUACCUAAAAAUUAACGAAAUAAGAAAUGGAAAAAAUGGUUAGCCGUCCCCGCAACCAACACCUGUUCCCGAAAUCCUUGCACGCAACCCGCACCCAUGCGGACCCCGAAAGGUCAACCGUGCACACAGACGCAGCCAAAAUGCUUACACUGUGAACCUUUUGCGCAACUUAGACACAGCAUGAAUUUUUGGUUUACUGUAGAAAAUUCGGCCAAUUAAUGUGCACAAUCAGUGUGUUUUACAGACAAUUGUACUUUUGUAUUACUAAUGACUACGAGUAUAGUGUUG
This is a long non-coding RNA of Paramacrobiotus metropolitanus, 1479 nucleotides long. RefSeq lists it as uncharacterized. The record is from RefSeq and is a predicted model, not a curated record. Lineage: Eukaryota; Metazoa; Tardigrada; Eutardigrada; Parachela; Macrobiotidae. The transcript has 5 exons.